CCUACGGGAGGCAGCAGUGAGGAAUAUUGGUCAAUGGACGGAAGUCUGAACCAGCCAUGCCGCGUGCAGGAAGACGGCUCUAUGAGUUGUAAACUGCUUUUGUACAAGGGUAAACCUGAAUACGUGUAUUCAGCUGAAAGUACUGUACGAAUAAGGAUCGGCUAACUCCGUGCCAGCAGCCGCGGUAAUACGGAGGAUCCAAGCGUUAUCCGGAUUUAUUGGGUUUAAAGGGUGCGUAGGCGGAUUGAUAAGUUAGAGGGGAAAUGUCCGAGCUCAACGCGGGAACUGCCUGGAAUACUGUUGAUCGAGAGAGUAGAUGCGGUAGGCGGAAUGUAUGGUGUAGCGGUGAAAGGCUGAGAGAGCAUACAGAACACCGAUUGCGAAGGCAGCUUACCAAUCUAUAUCUGACGUUGAGGCACGAAAGCGGGGGGAGCAAACAGGAGUAGAUACCCGAGGAGUC
This 460-nucleotide ribosomal RNA is filed under the name uncultured bacterium. RNAcentral describes it as "partial 16S ribosomal RNA". It matches the Rfam family "Bacterial small subunit ribosomal RNA", at positions 338 to 795 of the family's 1533-position model. The record is from RNAcentral.